Molecule: long non-coding RNA, 207 nt
Filed under: Oryza brachyantha (malo sina)
Lineage: Eukaryota; Viridiplantae; Streptophyta; Magnoliopsida; Poales; Poaceae
Description: long non-coding RNA (OBRA_LNC001735)
Source: RNAcentral
CAUGAUACAUGGCCUCAAGUAUACAUUCGUGAAAUAACAAGAGCCGUACUAUUCCCAACACUAUAUUGUGCCUAAAAUCAUGUUCCAUAGUAUGCAUCAAGUUGGAUGCGCGCAUGUCACCCAGCCCAAUCCAAGAGCCCAAUAUUUCUUGGUGCCACCCAUUCCCAAGAUAUGUGCUGUAUAUGCACAUCAAUUGCACUAGCUUGU